UACGGAGGAUGCGAGCGUUAUCCGGAUUCAUUGGGUUUAAAGGGUGCGUAGGCGGACUAAUAAGUCAGUGGUGAAAACCUGCAGCUUAACUGUAGACGUGCCAUUGAUACUGUUGGUCUUGAGUGUGGUCAAGGUAGGCGGAAUGUGUAAUGUAGCGGUGAAAUGCUUAGAUAUUACACAGAACACCGAUUGCGAAGGCAGCUUACUGGGCCAUUACUGACGCUGAUGCACGAAAGCGUGGGGAGCGAACAGG
Molecule: unclassified non-coding RNA, 253 nt
Filed under: uncultured Bacteroidota bacterium
Lineage: Bacteria; Pseudomonadati; Bacteroidota
Description: uncultured Bacteroidetes bacterium contains 16S-23S intergenic spacer region
Rfam family: Bacterial small subunit ribosomal RNA
Source: RNAcentral